This 543-nucleotide ribosomal RNA is filed under the name uncultured bacterium. RNAcentral describes it as "partial 16S ribosomal RNA". It matches the Rfam family "Bacterial small subunit ribosomal RNA", at positions 355 to 914 of the family's 1533-position model. The record is from RNAcentral.
UGGGGAAUAUUGGACAAUGGGGGCAACCCUGAUCCAGCCAUGCCGCGUGAGUGAUGAAGGCCUUAGGGUUGUAAAGCUCUUUCACCCGGGACGAUAAUGACGGUACCGGGAGAAGAAGCCCCGGCUAACUUCGUGCCAGCAGCCGCGGUAAUACGAAGGGGGCUAGCGUUGUUCGGAAUCACUGGGCGUAAAGCGCACGUAGGCGGACCGUUAAGUCGGAGGUGAAAUCCUGGGGCUCAACCCCAGAACUGCCUUCGAUACUGGCGGUCUCGAGUCCGGAAGAGGUGAGUGGAACUGCCAGUGUAGAGGUGAAAUUCGUAGAUAUUGGCAAGAACACCAGUGGCGAAGGCGGCUCACUGGUCCGGUACUGACGCUGAGGUGCGAAAGCGUGGGGAGCAAAACAGGAUUAGAUACCCUGGUAGUCCACGCCGUAAACGAUGAAUGCCAGCCGUCGGGCAGCAUGCUGUUCGGUGGCGCAGCUAACGCUUUAAGCAUUCCGCCUGGGGGAGUACGGUCGCAAGAUUAAAACUCAAAGGAAUUGAC